CCUACGGGUGACAGCAGUGAGGAAUAUUGGUCAAUGGACGAGAGUCUGAACCAGCCAAGUAGCGUGAAGGAUGACUGCCCUAUGGGUUGUAAACUUCUUUUAUAUGGGAAUAAAAUGUUCCACGUGUGGGCUUUUGUAUGUACCAUAUGAAUAAGGAUCGGCUAACGCCGUGCCAGCAGCCGCGGUAAUACGGAGGAUCCGAGCGUUAUCCGGAUUUAUUGGGUUUAAAGGGAGCGUAGGUGGAUUGUUAAGUCAGUUGUGAAAGUUUGCGGCUCAACCGUAAAAUUGCAGUUGAAACUGGCAGUCUUGAGUACAGUAGAGGUGGGCGGAAUUCGUGGUGUAGCGGUGAAAUGCUUAGAUAUCACGAAGAACUCCGAUUGCGAAGGCAGCUCACUGGACUGCAACUGACACUGAGGCUCGAAAGUGUGGGUAUCAAACAGGAUUAGAUACCCUGGUAGUC
This 460-nucleotide ribosomal RNA is filed under the name uncultured bacterium. Its description in RNAcentral is "partial 16S ribosomal RNA". It matches the Rfam family "Bacterial small subunit ribosomal RNA", at positions 338 to 795 of the family's 1533-position model. The record is from RNAcentral.